UACGGAGGGGGCUAGCGUUGUUCGGAAUUACUGGGCGUAAAGCGCGCGUAGGCGGACCUGCAAGUCGGGGGUGAAAGCCCGAGGCUCAACCUUGGAACUGCCUUCGAUACUGCGGGUCUCGAGUCCGGGAGAGGUGAGUGGAAUUCCUAGUGUAGAGGUGAAAUUCGUAGAUAUUAGGAAGAACACCAGUGGCGAAGGCGGCUCACUGGCCCGGUACUGACGCUGAGGCGCGAAAGCGUGGGGAGCAAAAGGG
Molecule: ribosomal RNA, 253 nt
Filed under: uncultured bacterium
Lineage: Bacteria
Description: partial 16S ribosomal RNA
Rfam family: Bacterial small subunit ribosomal RNA
Source: RNAcentral